UACGUAGGGGGCAAGCGUUGUCCGGAUUUAUUGGGCGUAAAGAGCUCGUAGGUGGUUUGGUAAGUCGGAUGUGAAAUCUCCAGGCUCAACCUGGAGGGGUCAUUCGAUACUGCCAUGACUAGAGGUCGGUAGGGGAGUGUGGAAUUCCUGGUGGAGCGGUGAAAUGCGCAGAUAUCAGGAGGAACACCCGUAGCGAAGGCGGCACUCUGUGCCGAUUCUGACACUGAGGAGCGAAAGCGUGGGGAGCGAACAGG
This 254-nucleotide ribosomal RNA is filed under the name uncultured bacterium. RNAcentral describes it as "partial 16S ribosomal RNA". It matches the Rfam family "Bacterial small subunit ribosomal RNA", at positions 524 to 776 of the family's 1533-position model. The record is from RNAcentral.